This 253-nucleotide ribosomal RNA is filed under the name uncultured bacterium. Its description in RNAcentral is "partial 16S ribosomal RNA". It matches the Rfam family "Bacterial small subunit ribosomal RNA", at positions 524 to 776 of the family's 1533-position model. The record is from RNAcentral.
UACGUGGGGUGCAAGCGUUAAUCGGAAUUACUGGGCGUAAAGCGUGCGCAGGCGGUUGUGUAAGACAGAUGUGAAAUCCCCGGGCUCAACCUGGGAACUGCAUUUGUGACUGCACAGCUGGAGUGCGGCAGAGGGGGAUGGAAUUCCGCGUGUAGCAGUGAAAUGCGUAGAUAUGCGGAGGAACACCGAUGGCGAAGGCAAUCCCCUGGGCCUGCACUGACGCUCAUGCACGAAAGCGUGGGGAGCAAACAGG